Hippocampus zosterae (dwarf seahorse) is the source of this 208-nucleotide long non-coding RNA. RefSeq lists it as uncharacterized. NCBI's taxonomy places the organism in Eukaryota, Metazoa, Chordata, Actinopteri, Syngnathiformes, Syngnathidae. The record is from RefSeq and is a predicted model, not a curated record. The transcript is spliced from 2 exons.
AACAGACAAGCUCACCACAUAUCCCACCAUGCCUCUGCCCUCUGGUCAAUAGAUUUGAAGCUGAACUAGGCUCUUCCAGUGAAUUUGACACCUCGGAGACCUCAGCUGCAGUCUCCAGGAAUCUCCCUUGCUCUCCUCAACUCAACAUCUGCCAACCGUGAACUCGCUCUCUCUGCAGGCUUCCUUUUCAUUUCACGGACUCAAAAUA